Molecule: long non-coding RNA, 256 nt
Organism: Cheilinus undulatus (humphead wrasse)
Lineage: Eukaryota; Metazoa; Chordata; Actinopteri; Labriformes; Labridae
Exons: 3
Source: RefSeq, a predicted model, not a curated record
UAGUGAUGAAGACCACUGCUGCUCUUCUUUAUCUCUGGUUAUGGAUAAACACAGGCUACACUGCUCAAACAGGUUCAAAGUGUGGAAAUCCUUCUUUGUGGAGCCCAAUGGUGCGCCCUUUGAGAGUGGUUGGAGGGACUGAGGCUGUUUACGGAUCACAUCCAUGGCUGGUUUCCCUGAAAUACAGGGGGUCUCAUUUCUGUGGAGGAGCGAUCCUGAGCGAUGACUGGAUAAUGACGGCAGCACACUGCUUUGC